Molecule: transfer RNA, 73 nt
Filed under: Eschrichtius robustus (grey whale)
Lineage: Eukaryota; Metazoa; Chordata; Mammalia; Artiodactyla; Eschrichtiidae
Description: tRNA-Gly
Source: RNAcentral
UUCCCCAGCCAGGGAUUGAACCUGGGCCCCCGGCAGUGGAAGUGCAGAGUCCUAACCACUGGACCACCAGGGA